This is a long non-coding RNA of Oryzias latipes (Japanese medaka), 1394 nucleotides long. RefSeq lists it as uncharacterized. The record is from RefSeq and is a predicted model, not a curated record. NCBI's taxonomy places the organism in Eukaryota, Metazoa, Chordata, Actinopteri, Beloniformes, Adrianichthyidae.
AUUCUGCUGUUGUAUUUCUAACAAUCAUUUCUCGACCUCCUGAGACACAACUCCUCCACCAUCUGAACCUUCAGGAUGUCCUUCUUCUUCAGACAUUUGACGCUGAUGUUUGUGCUUCUGCGUGGACUCUCAGCAGAUGCUGUUGUGUCACUAAACUGCAACCAAACAGUGGAAGUUACAUAUGGAGAGGAUCUGACUCUUAGUUGUGACAUUGAAUGGAAAGAAGGCCAGUGUAAAAUCAAUUCAAUUAAGUGGAACGACACAACAGAAAACCUCUGUGACAAGAACAGAUGUGAAAAUAAAACUACCUCUGCCUCACUACAAAUGUUUAAUGUCAUCGAGGAGAAGAACAUCAGCGUUAUCAUUAAUGCUAAUUGUGGCAUGGAUUCUGUCAGUAUCAGCCUGAAGAUCAAACCUGUUACAGUUAAAGUUGUGUCGUCAACCGCAAACCCCAAACCACUCAAUGCAAUCGCUGCUGUCUCUGCAGUCAUUAUUGCAGUCAUUGCUGGAGUUGCUUUGCAUCGACGUAAACGGAAGCAACAGCAGGGCGUCCCGCAGACUGAUCACCAGAUUGACAGUGUCUUGCCAGCUGUGUGAGACUUUUGCCUUCCUUGCUGUUUUUGCACUGAUGGUGAUACUUAAAUCUCAUUGUACUAUGCACAAUGACAAUAAAGCCAUUCUAUUCUAUUCUAUUCUAUUCUAAACAAGGAAAGAAAAGGAGAGAAAAAAAGAACCCAGAGUGGGGCUCAAAUGCAUCAUGCAGACAUGUUGGACAAACCCCGGCAGGUCAGGUUGGGUUGUCCCCAGUCAGGACAGAUUCCUGCAGAACACGAGGAGAAGAUGCUGAAGAAACGGCAUCUGGUGGAAGUGCUUUGUUUGUUUAUGGAUCCAGGAUUCCCUCUGCAGGUACAGAGAAAAUCUGUGUUCAUGGACUCAAGAAGAAAAGUGUUUCUCAUACUCAUUUGUAUAUAUUGAUAAAAACACACUGUGAUCACAUCAUUCAUGGUUCUGUUUUGUAAAGUACAUUGGCGUCUGUGACACCCUUUAAUAUAUCUAUAGAUUUUACUCUCAAAAGUCUUUCCUGUGAUUUUUUUUUACUUGCAGGUCAAACUCUGUGGGACUUUUGUACAUUUUUAAAUGAGCUAAUCUAUUUAAUCAAAACAUUGAUUUAAUACCUCAAAUCUUGUAAAUACAAAAACAAAAUGAUAUGUUUUCUUGGAUGUUUUUUGUCUUUAUAUAUACAUCAUGUAUGGUUUUCUGUAUAUCAGCUGCUGGUUUUCUAAUAAAAACAUAAUGUCAGGCCAACAAAAAUUUUGGUGGAUAAAAUGUAAAUGUUUCUGCUAUUCUUGUUUAUUUUUCAAUAACCAAAAAGAAAAACUGUGGGAUUUUAGAUG